RNAcentral lists this ribosomal RNA (1682 nucleotides) under Salmonella enterica subsp. enterica serovar Paratyphi A. Its description in RNAcentral is "23S ribosomal RNA". The record is from RNAcentral. Lineage: Bacteria; Pseudomonadati; Pseudomonadota; Gammaproteobacteria; Enterobacterales; Enterobacteriaceae.
AUUUGAUGCCUGGCAGUUCCCUACUCUCGCAUGGGGAGACCCCACACUACCAUCGGCGCUACGGCGUUUCACUUCUGAGUUCGGCAUGGGGUCAGGUGGGACCACCGCGCUACUGCCGCCAGACAAAUUCUNNNNNNNNNNNNNNNNNNNNGAAUCAGUGCUGAAAAUCGUCUCUCAUCCGCCAAAACAUCUUCGGCGUUGUAAGGUUAAGCCUCACGGUUCAUUAGUACCGGUUAGCUCAACGCAUCGCUGCGCUUACACACCCGGCCUAUCAACGUCGUCGUCUUCAACGUUCCUUCAGGAGACCUAAAGUCUCAGGGAGAACUCAUCUCGGGGCAAGUUUCGUGCUUAGAUGCUUUCAGCACUUAUCUCUUCCGCAUUUAGCUACCGGGCAGUGCCAUUGGCAUGACAACCCGAACACCAGUGAUGCGUCCACUCCGGUCCUCUCGUACUAGGAGCAGCCCCCCUCAGUUCUCCAGCGCCCACGGCAGAUAGGGACCGAACUGUCUCACGACGUUCUAAACCCAGCUCGCGUACCACUUUAAAUGGCGAACAGCCAUACCCUUGGGACCUACUUCAGCCCCAGGAUGUGAUGAGCCGACAUCGAGGUGCCAAACACCGCCGUCGAUAUGAACUCUUGGGCGGUAUCAGCCUGUUAUCCCCGGAGUACCUUUUAUCCGUUGAGCGAUGGCCCUUCCAUUCAGAACCACCGGAUCACUAUGACCUGCUUUCGCACCUGCUCGCGCCGUCACGCUCGCAGUCAAGCUGGCUUAUGCCAUUGCACUAACCUCCUGAUGUCCGACCAGGAUUAGCCAACCUUCGUGCUCCUCCGUUACUCUUUAGGAGGAGACCGCCCCAGUCAAACUACCCACCAGACACUGUCCGCAACCCGGGUAACGGGUCCACGUUAGAACAUCAAACAUUAAAGGGUGGUAUUUCAAGGUCGGCUCCAUGCAGACUGGCGUCCACACUUCAAAGCCUCCCACCUAUCCUACACAUCAAGGCUCAAUGUUCAGUGUCAAGCUAUAGUAAAGGUUCACGGGGUCUUUCCGUCUUGCCGCGGGUACACUGCAUCUUCACAGCGAGUUCAAUUUCACUGAGUCUCGGGUGGAGACAGCCUGGCCAUCAUUACGCCAUUCGUGCAGGUCGGAACUUACCCGACAAGGAAUUUCGCUACCUUAGGACCGUUAUAGUUACGGCCGCCGUUUACCGGGGCUUCGAUCAGGAGCUUCGCUUGCGCUGACCCCAUCAAUUAACCUUCCGGCACCGGGCAGGCGUCACACCGUAUACGUCCACUUUCGUGUUUGCACAGUGCUGUGUUUUUAAUAAACAGUUGCAGCCAGCUGGUAUCUUCGACUGACUUCAGCUCCAUGAGUAAAUCACUUCACCUACGUGUCAGCGUGCCUUCUCCCGAAGUUACGGCACCAUUUUGCCUAGUUCCUUCACCCGAGUUCUCUCAAGCGCCUUGGUAUUCUCUACCUGACCACCUGUGUCGGUUUGGGGUACGAUUUGAUGUUACCUGAUGCUUAGAGGCUUUUCCUGGAAGCAGGGCAUUUGUUGCUUCAGCACCGUAGUGCCUCGUCGUCACGCCUCAGUGUUAAAGUGAACCGGAUUUACCUGGAACACACACCUACACGCUUAAACCGGGACAACCGUCGCCCGGCCAACAUAGCCUUCUCCGU